AAAGAUCGGGUAGUGAGCUUAGAUAAGUAACUGGAAAAGCUUAAAUACCGAGAUCUAUAUAAUACGACAUAUUUUAACUCACCGUAUUUCUUUGUAGGUGUGGAGUCAGAAAUAUCAGAUGUCCAUAUUCAGAGAGGUGAGACAUUUGUUGGGGGAGGCUCAAAAACCAAUAUGAAUAGCACCACUUCUGCUUCUACCACACUGUUUGGGAAGGUAACAAUUAUCUCACUGUAUCGAACUGAUGAAUUUUGCCUAAAUAUAGAAAGGCAAAUAGCCUAAUGUUAAUGAGAAGUAGAAUGUUUUCCUAACAUUUGGGUAUAUUUGCUGCAUGAGGGAAUGGUAAGCAAAGGUGUUCCCAUUAAUAGGAACUAACUUCAUUGUGGUACAAACUUGCAGAAUUUCGGAACGUCAUCAUCAUCAAUCCGGCCGUGCACACGUUGUGGACUUUACGGACACAACAAGGCAUCUUGUCG
Molecule: long non-coding RNA, 473 nt
Filed under: Brassica rapa (field mustard)
Lineage: Eukaryota; Viridiplantae; Streptophyta; Magnoliopsida; Brassicales; Brassicaceae
Description: long non-coding RNA (BRAP_LNC005573)
Source: RNAcentral